RNAcentral lists this ribosomal RNA (592 nucleotides) under uncultured bacterium. RNAcentral's name for it is "bacterial SSU rRNA". It matches the Rfam family "Bacterial small subunit ribosomal RNA", at positions 338 to 873 of the family's 1533-position model. The record is from RNAcentral.
CCUACGGGAGGCAGCAGUAGGGAAUAUUGGUCAAUGGACGAAAGUCUGAACCAGCCAUGCCGCGUGAAGGAUGAAGGUCCUCUGGAUUGUAAACUUCUUUUAUCUGGGACGAAAAAAGGGCUUUCUAGCUCACUUGACGGUACCAGAGGAAUAAGCACCGGCUAACUCCGUGCCAGCAGCCGCGGUAAUACGGAGGGUGCAAGCGUUAUCCGGAUUUACUGGGUUUAAAGGGAGCGUAGGUGGGCAGGUAAGUCAGUGGUGAAAUCUCUGGGCUUAACCCGGAAACUGCCAUUGAUACUAUCUGUCUUGAAUAUCCUGGAGGUAAGCGGAAUAUGUCAUGUAGCGGUGAAAUGCUUAGAUAUGACAUAGAACACCCAUUGCGAAGGCAGCUUACUACGGGAUUAUUGACACUGAGGCUCGAAAGCGUGGGGAUCAAACAGGAUUAGAUACCCUGGUAGUCCACGCCCUAAACGAUGGAUACUCGACAUCAGCGAUACACUGUUGGUGUCUGNGCGAAGCAUUAAGUACUACCCACCGUAGGGAACGUACGACCGACCGAAGGUUAGAACGUACGAAAGGUAAGUUAGGACGG